AGACAGUGGAGCCAGAAACCAUAAAAAACGGGGCGUAUACGAAAAGCCAUACGAGUAGUAAACCU
Prevotella intermedia 17 is the source of this 65-nucleotide non-coding RNA. The record is from Rfam. Lineage: Bacteria; Pseudomonadati; Bacteroidota; Bacteroidia; Bacteroidales; Prevotellaceae.